AAAUUUUAAUGAGUAUAAUUGAAAAUGAGAAACACAUACGCUUUUUACGAAAUUUUUGAAGGAAAUUAUCAAUUCUUUCGCUCGACCGCGGCGCUAGUGAAUUUAUGUAUUUUUAAUUGUAUAUAUUCUAGUACGCAGGUUUCUAAUUAAAACUUUUAGAUUUUUAUAUUCAACGAAAUGUCAUAUUGUUUUUGUAUCGUGACAUAAAGACAAGCUCCGCCUCAGAAGGAUUUUCAGAAUAAAAUGCUAAAUAAGCUUUCUUAGAAUUAACAUAAUGUUAAAUACAUAUUAUAAAACUGCUAAUGAAAAACGUCAUAUAACUCAAACUCCCGAGCCAUAUACCAGAAGAGCGAAUGUCAAAGAUCGGAGCCCACGUGUCUCGCGGAGGACAAUUACGCCCAUCCGAUUGCUCUCGGCGAGCGACUUUAACGACGAGAGACAACAAAGGUGACGAAGCCGUGGGGGGGAGAGAGAGAGAGAGAGAGAGAGAGAGAGAGAGAGAGAGAGAGAGAGAGAGAGAGAAAAUACCGCGUACUUGAGCGUGUAUCGCGACAUAUUUCUGAUCGUCGAUUUAAGUAACAUUCGCAAGAGCGACAGUGCUGAAGCAACAACACGCGAGAGAUAUCGCUGGCUGAAAAAAAAAAAAAA
Pogonomyrmex barbatus (red harvester ant) is the source of this 648-nucleotide long non-coding RNA. The record is from RefSeq and is a predicted model, not a curated record. Lineage: Eukaryota; Metazoa; Arthropoda; Insecta; Hymenoptera; Formicidae.